Molecule: long non-coding RNA, 455 nt
Organism: Salvia splendens (bonfire salvia)
Lineage: Eukaryota; Viridiplantae; Streptophyta; Magnoliopsida; Lamiales; Lamiaceae
Exons: 4
Source: RefSeq, a predicted model, not a curated record
GGCAUGGACUUCUUUACUAUUGUCACAGAAGUACAUCCAAGGCUGAAUGACGCAACUAGUGUUCAGUCAGAAGCAUCUGCAAUGACACCCUUGCAUGGAAGCAGAAAUGCAUCUUCAAUAGCUGAACCUAACAAGGGAUCCAGGCAGUUUUUUCAAGACAUUAACUUUCAGUUACAACAAGGUGACACGUUGUAUUUUUAGGGAAACAAGGAUGACAGAGAAAGGAUUAUUGUUCGUAGAUUCAAAUUAGAAGAAUUGCGUAUAGAGGAAAUUCAAGAUCUUGAGAUGUUCGUAAGUGGCUUUGCUUACUUCUCAAACAGAAUGAUGUCAUGAAACACUUUCGAGAGGAUCUGCAUUGGGCUGACUUCAAAAAGCUAAGUUGAUGGAGUUGAGUCUCUAGUGCUUUCUUGUCUUUGUAUGCUAUAUCUUUCCAUGUGUUCCUCUUGGCAGAUAAG